UGAUUAACUAACCAUUGUGUUGUUUUGGAGAGUGAAAUGUAAGGCCAGUGAAGAACUAAUACAACGCACUUCCUCAUUGUGCUUCUGGCUAACACACUUCUAAAAGGAAGCAACACAUCGCACACACGUGGAAGAAAGAGUCUGCGGGGCUCUUUUUGAAAGGCGAGACUGUGAUCCCAUUGUUUGCUGAGAAAUCAAGGCGUUACCAACGGACGCAGACCAAAAGGACUCCGGGCGCGAUUGGAUAGACCAACAACCAGAGAUGUCAACAGAGCAGAGCAGAGCAGAGAGGAGACGCUUGUGAUGACGAUUCCACAAUAUCUGUGAACGAGUGUUGCCGUUUUUGUGGAAGAAAUGUUAAAAUAUCAGAGACUCCGUCCUGGUGAAGAAAGGAUGCAGGGAUGUCAUCAUCAUGUGCAUCAUCGCCUGGAGGAUCUAACUGGGAGUCAUGGUAUCGUAUAGCAGCAAAGAUGGAGAUAAGACUGGAGCUGAUCAGAGCAC
This is a long non-coding RNA of Scophthalmus maximus (turbot), 501 nucleotides long. RefSeq lists it as uncharacterized. NCBI's taxonomy places the organism in Eukaryota, Metazoa, Chordata, Actinopteri, Pleuronectiformes, Scophthalmidae. The transcript has 3 exons. The record is from RefSeq and is a predicted model, not a curated record.